AUUGAAACUGUUUUCAUAAUUCUCGUCUGCGAAGUAUAACAUUCAGGAAUAAACAAAGUUUCAAGAGGAAUUUAUGUGCCCAGCAAGCCAGCAUUCCGAAUUACGCCCCUGUUGUCAAUUUGCUUCACGACAAUAUUUGAGUAUAUCAAGAUAUUUAACGCUAAUCUGGAUUCAUUUUCACUGUGUGUGUUAACGAUGUUUCAAAUUGAAUGAUGUCUUUGCUCUGCUAUUGAAUGAGAAGACAUAUCAAUAUAUAUGGAACUACAAAACUACAAAGAGGUUAAAAAACAAUUAAGCAUGCAAUAAAAUGCUUGCAGGUGAAGGGAAAAAACUGUUUCUAAAUCUGUUCGUUUAAUUUAGUCUGCGGAACAACAAAGUUUCUAGAGAGUCUCAGAUUAUAGUAUGGGAAGUGUCUAGAUGGUAUAACAUAAAUGUUUUCUGCUG
RNAcentral lists this unclassified non-coding RNA (444 nucleotides) under Dendronephthya gigantea. RNAcentral describes it as "uncharacterized LOC114537524, transcript variant X2". The record is from RNAcentral. Lineage: Eukaryota; Metazoa; Cnidaria; Anthozoa; Malacalcyonacea; Nephtheidae.